GACAGAGGGGGCAAGCGUUGCUCGGAAUUACUGGGCGUAAAGGGCGCGUAGGCGGAAUGGCAAGUCGGUCGUGAAAUCCUUCGGCUCAACCGAAGAACGUCGAUCGAAACUGCCGUUCUUGAGGAUUGCAGAGGAGACUGGAAUUCCCGGUGUAGCGGUGAAAUGUGUAGAGAUCGGGAGGAACACCGGUGGCGAAGGCGGGUCUCUGGGCAAUUCCUGACGCUGAGGCACGAAAGCGUGGGGAGCAAACAGG
Molecule: ribosomal RNA, 253 nt
Filed under: uncultured bacterium
Lineage: Bacteria
Description: partial 16S ribosomal RNA
Rfam family: Bacterial small subunit ribosomal RNA
Source: RNAcentral